UGAUUUCCGUGCGGCGUUGCCACAUUAGGUCUGUACAUUCUGCACCCGUUACCCGCUUCGACGACUAUCAGUCACACUGACAGUUUAUCGUUUCCUCCACUAUCCUAUUAAAUAUUGCACAAUUACAUUUUCUAGGCCGAACGGUGAUAUUUAUCGUACCUACACGAUUGGAGUACCAAAAGACUCUCGUGCUUCAUAAACGCGUCAUCGCUUCCCGGAAUCACCGAUGAAACUUAAUUGCUAACAGGAAAAAGAGAUUGUCUCGACUGAUUUUUAUAUUCAUUCCAUUUGCUUCGUACGAUGUUGAUUACAUUUGCUUUUAUUCAUUAGCAAACGUGUUAUUCGAAUUUCUUAUCAAGAAAUACGAAGAGAAAUAAGUUGAAUCAUAAGAAUUUGUCUCCUGUUGAUAAACGAUUGACUAAUAAUGACAAAAUUUGUUAUCGAAAAAUACGAAAAGAAGUGAAAAGAAUCAUAUCAUAGAUUUUUGCCCUUAUAGAUAAACGAUUAGUUAAGAAUUUGAAAACAAUUUAUAUUAUGUCAAAGAUCUAAUCAAGAAAUACGAAGAGGAAAAAGGAUCACCAGAGAUUUACAAAUUAACGUGUUGUUUCACGCAUAGACAAGUAAUUAAUUAAGAAUUUGAAAAUUGUCUGUAUUAUGUCUAGAGAUAUAAUCAAGGAGCACGAAUUGAAGUAAGAAGUAUCAUUGGAAAUUUUUAAAUUAAGAGUAUUAUUUUCUUUGUAGAUAUCGGCCAUGUUUUCUUUUAUUCAUUGACAAAUAUUUCAUUAAGAACUUGAAAAUUUUCGAUUUUUUGUUAAAAGAUUUAAUCGAGAAAUACUAAAAGAAGUAAAAAAGAUAAAUUACAAAUUUUGAAAUUCAAGCUAUUUCUUUCGCCGAGAAAUCUAAUCGAAAAAUGCAAAGAGAAGUAAGAAAAGUAUCAUUGCAUAUGUCAGAAGUCAUAAAAUGACGUCACAACUACUCAAUCUCAAAGGAAACAUUGCCGAAAAGUGCAUUUGUCGAGGUCGUCUCAAGAACGGUAUGCCGUCGUGGUCAUGUUAUCAUCGUAGCCGUAGUUGUCAUCGACGUCGAGAAGAUACGAGAGAAGGCCGAUUAUGUGUCGCGUAGAGCGCGCACAGACCAAUCAUCGAUCAUCAGCUUUGGAAGCGCACGUGACUCAGUUGGCAACGUUGCAAAGGCGUUGUCGCGAUAUUCCGCUUGUAGUUGUCCGUCAGGAGUUUACAGAGAUCCGCCUUGAGGAAAGGUUCCCUUCUGAGGUCGAGAAGAAAACAGAACGAGAGAGCAGGAGGAGAAAAAGAAGGACGAAAGGGAAGCACUCAUAGAAAAAAGAAAAAGAGAAAAAAGGAGAGGCAACGCGAGUAGAAGGUAUACGUUCUGCUCUCCUCAGCCCGGAAAGAUGAGACUACUAUUCGUUUGGAUCUGGAACAGCUUUUCCUAACUGCGAUGGAAUUACACAAAGGGGAAAAAACUGACAUUGAGAGAACUAACACGAAGAAACGAGAUGAAAAAUAAAGUUAGAUAUACUGUUUCGUAGUAUACCUAACUUAAUCUUAAUGCAUUCCUAACCUCUAAAUUUACACGAGUACAUUCGGGAUGCCUAUCUCGAAAGGUUAUGCAGAAGGAUGGAAAAUAAUUGGAAAAUGAUCUACAAAAACGGAUGACAAUUUCUGAUUUUGCUCUUUUUUGAUCUUCCUUCGACGAUGAUGAAGAGAAAACGAAAUAUAUAUAUAUGUUUUCGUAAAACGAAAAGGAAAUUUUCAACAGAUCGUUAUUUUUCGUAACGACACACAGAGACAAUGGCCGGCAAGCGAGACACCUGCGUGCUGGUGAUGAUGUCGGCAGGUGAGAGAACGGGUAAAAUGAGUAAGUAAGAAGGAGGAGGAGGAGGAGGAGGAGGAGGAGGAGGAGGAAGAGGAAAAUGACGACGACGACGAAGACGACAACGACGACAACGACGACGACGACGACGACGACAAGAGGAGAAGAGAGGGAGGGAGAGAGAAAGGGAGGGCGCGCCGAUGAUAGAUAAACAGAGUAUACUACGCGCAUACUCACGACGAUAUUACGAGGACGUAACACGACGUCGACACGCGCGACGCCGAAUCAAACUCUAUUGUAGCAGUAGUAGUAGCAGUAGCAGUGAAGUAGUAGUAAUACUGGUAGUGUAAUAGUAGUAGAGCAGAAAAGUAGCAAUAGAAGUAGUAAUAAUACUAGUAGUGUAAUAGUAGUAGAGCAGUAAUAGUAAUAAUGUAGUAGUAAUAAUAAUAACAAUAGUAAUAUUACAAAACCAACGAAUUAUUGGGUGAAAAAUUGAACAUGAAAGUAGCUAACACAGAAAUGGAAGGUAAAAUUCUGAAGUCGAUUCGUUUUUUGGGCGAUGUCGCGACUACUACUACACUACUAGACGAAAACGACGACAAUGCCGACGACGAAGCAAGUCCAAUGGAUGUACGCAUUCACACAUGAAACAGUUGAAACACUGCUAUUUUACAAACCAUACACUACACUCUUGGCACAUAACAGAUCACGAAACACACGCAAGAGAGAGAAAGAGAGAUACAGCAUAGGUCCUUUCUUUUCUUCUUCCUUUUUUCCUCUCUGCGGAGCAAACGACUCCUUGCGGAACGCACGAAACGUACCUCUUGCGAAUCUCCAACGACUCGCCUCCUUUCGUCGAUGCACACGGCGAGACGUUGGGGACUCGCCUGGACGAAUCCGCGACGAAAUUAAUUACGAACGCACGGGAUGUGGCGUGCAAACAAACGGACUGCUAAGAGUACCAAAGAGACGACAGCGUGAGGAGAUGAGUGAGUGAGAGAGGAAACGAGAAGGUAGAAGACGAAGAGAUAGAUAGAUAGAUAGAUAGAAUAAAAGAGACAGAGAGGGUGAGGAGUCGAAGGUAGAGGAGGAGGAAGAGGAGGAGGAGAGAAAGACGAUUGCAAUGACGACACAAUCGCACCACGAAACACACACCAAGCAAGACUCGAGAGCACUGACGGCUAGUACGCGAUAGCAGCGCCACGAGGCGUCACUCGUCCACGUUAACGACCACGGGACGAUGUUCCGCCGGCGCGCAUUGGUGGGGAGAACUCUGGUGGGGGGAGCCACCGACUAAUCUAUCCUCUCUCCGUCAUAACUCUGCUCUUUCGUUGCUUCAACGAUUAGUGCUUUUCUUUCAAAUUUAACGAAAUGUCCCUCUAUGAUUCCUUGUCUCAGAAUCGUUCUUACUUUUCUGAUAUACCUUUGAUAAGAAUUUUCAAAUGAUUGUAUGAUGAUGAUGUCGAGUUGUUUACCAAUAAUGACAUCUUCCGAUGUCCAUCUCUUGUUUCAGAGUUUUAACGAAUGGAGGAUAGCAUUAUAAAGAACACAAUGAUCGAUAGCCGUUGGAUUGCUUUUUUCUACGAUCGAUGCUAAAUACUUCAUGCCUAAAUUGUAUUUAAUACUUCAGGUAUACUGUUUCUUUCACGAGCUAUGAAUUCUCAUUUCGCGCAAGGAAACAGAUUAAAGAGCAGCAUCGAAGCGCGAAUGUUCGAAUUGAAAGACGGUGCGUUAUGGGGAAUGACGUGGUACAUGUGGUAUUUCCGAAGCGUCUAGACUCGCUAAUUUAAACCGACUCUCGCAAAUCUACACACAACGACGAUGGUUCAACUCAGUCUAGCCCCUGUCACAACUAACGACUGAAAUAUGAGAAACAUCGUCGUCCAUGCGCAGUUUCAUCCUUUCUUCCUAUAAAUUACGCGCUGUGGAUUUAAAUCUCGAUGGGCACGAUAUAAAGAGUCUCUUUCUCUCUUUUUCUUCCUCUCUCUCUUUUCUUACUGAGAGAGACUUUAAUUACGUGUCCAUGAUUUAGUACCGAUCGGGUGACGCGCAUGUCGUGUAAUUAAAGAGAAACAGGACGAGAGAGAUGAGCCAGUGUUCUUUUUAACGACUACUUGAAAUAAAACGCGUUUGCUGCUAAGUAUCUGUCACAUUUACAUUCCGAUAUGCUGUUACAAAUUUUCAAAUACAGCUGUUCGAUGACAAGAAAUCACAAAUUGCGAAACGUCGAGCCAAAGUUUCCAUAGAGCGAUGAGUGCUGCUUUCUCCAGAGAACUGAAGAAAUUGUUUAUAAAAUAUACAAUAUAUAUAUGUAUAUAUAUAUAUAUAUAUAUAUACACACCAAUGCUUGAAAAAUAUGCUUUUCCAGUAAUGUGCUCACGCUAAAAAGUUUAUGAUAGAAGAUAGAUGAUAGAUGAUAGAUGAUAAAAGAUAGAUGAUAGAAAUGACUUCAAAAUGAUAAAAUACAAGUACAAUGAUGUGUUUGACAUAUUAAAAAACGUUUAUAACGGAGCUAUAAAUAUUUCAGAAAAAUUAAAAGAAAUAUGUUUGGUAUAGCUGUUUAGUCCUGGACGUUUGGAUAAUGUUAACAACACCAAACCCAGGGUGGAGCGAUACAUACCAAUUUUCAUUCUUCCUUCGUGUUGAACCGCACUUUCUUUUAAGACAGAAAAUGCAGUGUGUUUAACGAAGGGUAUGAUAUAUACAUCGUGUUGACAACGAAAGAAGAUAGAUAAAAUCCUCACAGUUUUAGGAAUAUAUAAACGCUUUUGUAUAUAACAGCAGAAAAGAAAAACUGUUGGAGAUAGUGAGAAACAAAGAAAGUUAGAGGAGAAACACAUCAAAACACCAACAGCAGGCCAGAAGAGAGAGAGAGAGAGAGAAAAGGAAUAACGAAGCGCCGCAAAGAACGGUGGGGUCACCCAUCCAUUCCUUAAACGCUAUGAAUAGAUGUUUAACUGAAAUAAGCGAACUUAUGAUGAACGUGCACUUCGACCAAAUAAUAACUUUAAAUUCCUAUUAUAAAUAAUUAAUAUUAGCAUUGUAUUAUUUUUAUGGUAUAUUUUUAAAAUUAGUUAAUAAUUAUUUAUUAAUCGACAUUCAAGGAACGAUAAGAAUAAUCCUAAUACCAGUCAUUGAAUGUAUGAUCAAACUGGAGAGGUGUCUGUUUUAGAAUCUUUUGUAAUUGUAAUAUAAUAAUAAGAUUAAAUAUGACUUCGGAUGCAUUUAGAUACUUAAACAAAUUAA
Vespa crabro (European hornet) is the source of this 5079-nucleotide long non-coding RNA. RefSeq lists it as uncharacterized. NCBI's taxonomy places the organism in Eukaryota, Metazoa, Arthropoda, Insecta, Hymenoptera, Vespidae. The record is from RefSeq and is a predicted model, not a curated record. The transcript is spliced from 4 exons.